GAGGCGCAUUUUAUUUCAAAUUUAUCCAGACAAAGACCAAAAGAUAAUUAAUACUCCAAAACUAUCUAAAGAAAUCGAUAAUAGCUUAUUCGGUAAUUAUCUGGAGAGAUAAAUAAAAUAUUUUAAUUUUGAAAAACCGUCUAUUGUUGAGAACACGGUGGAUUACUGGGAGAUAACAACUCGAACGGUUAAACUAAUGAAAUGUAAACGCAAUGGAAUCAUUGUG
Non-coding RNA from Cinara cedri, 226 nucleotides. The record is from the annotation of a GenBank genome assembly. Lineage: Eukaryota; Metazoa; Arthropoda; Insecta; Hemiptera; Aphididae.